Molecule: non-coding RNA, 357 nt
Organism: Pelobates cultripes (western spadefoot toad)
Lineage: Eukaryota; Metazoa; Chordata; Amphibia; Anura; Pelobatidae
Source: the annotation of a GenBank genome assembly
GGUUGUGUGCGAGUGGCUUCUCUGGAAGCUCAGAUUGGAGAUCUCGAGAAGCAAAUCGCAACUUUGAGGGAGAUUGACAAUCUUGAGAGGAGUCUACUGCUCACUGAGCAGAGUUUAGUGGGGACAGGUAGUGGAGAUGGAGGAGAUAAGACAGAUGGGGAACAGGCAUGUAGCUGGGUGACAGUGGGGCGAGGAAGCAGGAGGGGAGGGAAGAGGAAAGGGCUAGCUAGUCCUGAUAGCAUCAGCUCAGGAGUAGCUGUAUUAGAGGAAGCUGUUACUUCUAACAGCCGAGCUAACAGCCCCCCUAGUACGGGUGGGGAUCAAAAUGUAAGGAAGGCAAGACAGGUUGUGGUGUUA